This 771-nucleotide ribosomal RNA is filed under the name uncultured bacterium. Its description in RNAcentral is "bacterial SSU rRNA". It matches the Rfam family "Bacterial small subunit ribosomal RNA", at positions 8 to 796 of the family's 1533-position model. The record is from RNAcentral.
AGAGUUUGAUCCUGGCUCAGGACGAACGCUGGCGGCGUGCUUAACACAUGCAAGUCGAACGGUAAGGCCCUUCGGGGUACACGAGUGGCGAACGGGUGAGUAACACGUGGGUAAUCUGCCCUGCACAUCGGGAUAAGCCUGGGAAACUGGGUCUAAUACCGAAUAGGACCACAGGACACAUGUCCUGUGGUGGAAAGCUUUUGCGGUGUGGGAUGGGCCCGCGGCCUAUCAGCUUGUUGGUGGGGUAAUGGCCUACCAAGGCGACGACGGGUAGCCGGCCUGAGAGGGUGACCGGCCACACUGGGACUGAGAUACGGCCCAGACUCCUGCGGGAGGCAGCAGUGGGGAAUAUUGCACAAUGGGCGCAAGCCUGAUGCAGCGACGCCGCGUGAGGGAUGACGGCCUUCGGGUUGUAAACCUCUUUCAGCACAGACGAAGCGCAAGUGACGGUAUGUGCAGAAGAAGGACCGGCCAACUACGUGCCAGCAGCCGCGGUAAUACGUAGGGUCCGAGCGUUGUCCGGAAUUACUGGGCGUAAAGAGCUCGUAGGUGGUUUGUCGCGUUGUUCGUGAAAGCUCACAGCUUAACUGUGGGCGUGCGGGCGAUACGGGCAGACUUGAGUACUGCAGGGGAGACUGGAAUUCCUGGUGUAGCGGUGGAAUGCGCAGAUAUCAGGAGGAACACCGGUGGCGAAGGCGGGUCUCUGGGCAGUAACUGACGCUGGGGAGCGAAAGCGUGGGGAGCGAACAGGAUUAGAUACCCUGGUAGUCC